RNAcentral lists this ribosomal RNA (211 nucleotides) under Crematogaster brasiliensis. RNAcentral describes it as "partial large subunit ribosomal RNA". The record is from RNAcentral. Lineage: Eukaryota; Metazoa; Arthropoda; Insecta; Hymenoptera; Formicidae.
GAAUUUUAUAUAAGUAGAUUAUUUAAUUAAGUUUUAUAAAUAGUUUAAAUUAUAUUUAAUUGGGAGGAUUGUUAAAUUAAAAGAACUUUAAUUAAGUUUUAAAAUAUUAAUUAAUAGAUUUUAGAAUGGUUAUUAAAUUAAAUAAGAAUUAAUUACCUUAGGGAUAACAGCGUAAUAUUUUUAGAGAGUUCAUAUUAAUAAAAAUGUUUGC